CUCCUCCUGAAUCCUCUCUCUUCCUCGACAUAACCAGCCACGCCGCCGCUGCCGACUUCUAUAAAAAAUUGAUCCGGGCACGCAUGAGUCGUGCGUUGGUGCCAUGGGUAGCACAUCCACAUAAAUAUAUCGUGCAUGCUUACCCUGCGUUGUGUUUCUGGCCGAUUGAGCCAGCUUUCUACGUAUGAAUCUGGCCGGACGAACAUCACGGGUUGUUCACAGGCAGAUGCUAUUGUCAGUACAAUGACGAUCUGGUGCGAAUUUUUGAUCAAUCAUGUCUCUCAUGUGGCUGUGUUUAGCGGACGAAGAAUUCAAUCAUGGUUACCUGUAUAUACAUAUACCUUUUCCACGCGGAUAUUUGAAAUGGCACCACUGCGCAGAUCGACAGAUGGAGGAGCUAAGUCCUAUUUUCUGGGACAUACAAGACAACGGCGAGCACAUCUAGCCACCGGAAACAUGAGACAACUCCACAAAACAAUGGCAAUGUCAGCAUCGUUUAAUCCAGCGACGGCAUCUUUGCAAAUGUGGUUGGUACACACAUCAGGUAUUUUUGUCCCCAAUCGAUGUACUCUUUUCUUUAUUAGUGAAACACGUUGUGUAUUACAUGCAUGCCUGAUGGCUAUGUAUUUAUGUACUGAUGAGUUCAUUGGACAGGUAUUUUCUUAAAGAUUGUUACAUUUUCCAUUAAAUCUUUCUCUUUGUUAGUUUCUUUCCAAGAUAAUUGUGUGGUUGAUUGCUUGACCAAAGCAUUUAAAGCCGGAAACUAAAUAAGA
Molecule: long non-coding RNA, 773 nt
Organism: Triticum aestivum (bread wheat)
Lineage: Eukaryota; Viridiplantae; Streptophyta; Magnoliopsida; Poales; Poaceae
Exons: 3
Source: RefSeq, a predicted model, not a curated record